This 97-nucleotide microRNA precursor is filed under the name Tetraodon nigroviridis (spotted green pufferfish). Its description in RNAcentral is "miRNA (ENSTNIG00000020106.1)". The stretch from base 18 to 87 matches the Rfam family "mir-29 microRNA precursor family". Rfam says of the family: This family represents the microRNA (miRNA) precursors mir-29. Animal miRNAs are transcribed as ~70nt precursors and subsequently processed by the Dicer enzyme to give a ~22nt product. In this case the mature sequence comes from the 3' arm of the precursor. Lineage: Eukaryota; Metazoa; Chordata; Actinopteri; Tetraodontiformes; Tetraodontidae. The record is from RNAcentral.
GAUGUUUUGCUGCACUCAGAAGCUGAUUUCAUCUGGUGACGUAGAUGUUUGUACCGAGUCUCUAGCACCAUAUGAAAUCAGUGUUUUGGGGGUGGAC